This 304-nucleotide ribosomal RNA is filed under the name Streptococcus lutetiensis. Its description in RNAcentral is "bacterial SSU rRNA". It matches the Rfam family "Bacterial small subunit ribosomal RNA", at positions 108 to 407 of the family's 1533-position model. The record is from RNAcentral. Lineage: Bacteria; Bacillati; Bacillota; Bacilli; Lactobacillales; Streptococcaceae.
GAGUAACGCGUAGGUAACCUGCCUACUAGCGGGGGAUAACUAUUGGAAACGAUAGCUAAUACCGCAUAACAGCAUUUAACACAUGUUAGAUGCUUGAAAGGAGCAAUUGCUUCACUAGUAGAUGGACCUGCGUUGUAUUAGCUAGUUGGUGAGGUAACGGCUCACCAAGGCGACGAUACAUAGCCGACCUGAGAGGGUGAUCGGCCACACUGGGACUGAGACACGGCCCAGACUCCUACGGGAGGCAGCAGUAGGGAAUCUUCGGCAAUGGGGGCAACCCUGACCGAGCAACGCCGCGUGAGUG